RNAcentral lists this ribosomal RNA (788 nucleotides) under uncultured archaeon. RNAcentral describes it as "bacterial SSU rRNA". It matches the Rfam family "Archaeal small subunit ribosomal RNA", at positions 85 to 879 of the family's 1478-position model. The record is from RNAcentral.
ACUGCUCAGUAACACGUCAAUAAUCUGCCCUUAGGUCAUGGAUAACCUUGGGAAACUGAGGGUAAACCAUGAUAGGAGAGAUGCUCUGGAAUAUAGCUCUCUCAUAAGCUCGAGCCUAAGGAUGAGUUGGCGGCCGAUUAGGCUGUUGGCGGUGUAACGGACCACCAAACCUGUGAUCGGUAGGGGCCUUGAAAGAGGGAGCCCCGAGAAGGACACUGAAAUACUGGUCCUAGCCCUACGGGGUGCAGCAGGCGCGAAACUUUUACAAUGCACGAAAGUGUGAUAAGGGGAUCCCAAGUGCUUGCACACUGUGCAGGCUUUUUUCCAGGGCAAGUACCUGGGAGAAUAAGUGGUGGGUAAGACUGGUGCCAGCCGCCGCGGUAACACCAGCGCCACGAGUGGCAGCCGUAUAUUUGGCCUAAAGCGUCCGUAGCUGGUAGGAUGAAUUCUUUGUGAAAUUGUUGAGCUUAACUUAACAACGUGCAGAGAACACUGUCCUGCUUGAGACCGGGAGGAGUCAGAGGUAUUUCUGGGGGAGCGGUAAAAUGCUAUAAUCCCAGGAAGACCACCUGUGGCGAAGGCGUCUGACUAGAACGGAUCUGACAGUGAGGGACGAAAGCCAGGGGAGCAAACCGGAUUAGAUACCCGAGUAGUCCUGGCUGUAAACGCUGUGAGCUAGGUGUUGCCUAUUCUACAUGAAUGGACAGUGUCGAAAUGAAGAUGUUAAGCUCACCGCCUGGGAAGUACAGUCGCAAGGCCGAAACUUAAAGGAAUUGGCGGGGGAGCAC